Molecule: unclassified non-coding RNA, 101 nt
Organism: Cavia porcellus (domestic guinea pig)
Lineage: Eukaryota; Metazoa; Chordata; Mammalia; Rodentia; Caviidae
Rfam family: Y RNA
About the family: Y RNAs are components of the Ro ribonucleoprotein particle (Ro RNP), in association with Ro60 and La proteins.
Source: Ensembl
GGCUGGUCAGAUGGCAGUGGGUUAUUGGAACUUAUUAACAUUAGUGUCACUAAAGUUGGUAUACCACCCCCCCCCCCACUGCUAAAUUUGACUGGCUUUAA